RNAcentral lists this ribosomal RNA (503 nucleotides) under uncultured bacterium. RNAcentral describes it as "partial 16S ribosomal RNA". It matches the Rfam family "Bacterial small subunit ribosomal RNA", at positions 29 to 523 of the family's 1533-position model. The record is from RNAcentral.
AAUGAACGCUGGCGGCAGGCUUAACACAUGCAAGUCGAGCGGAGUGAUGGUGCUUGCACUAUCACUUAGCGGCGGACGGGUGAGUAAUGCUUAGGAAUCUGCCUAUUAGUGGGGGACAACCUCUCGGAAGGGAUGCUAAUACCGCAUACGUCCUACGGGAGAAAGCAGGGGAGCACUUGUGACCUUGGGCUAAUAGAUGAGCCCAAGUCGGCUUAGCUAGUGGGUGGGGUAAAGGCCUACCAAGGCGACGAUCUGUAGCGGGUAUGAGAGGAUGAUCCGCCACACUGGGACUGAGACACGGCCCAGACUCCUACGGGAGGCAGCAGUGGAGAAUAUUGGACAAUGGGGGGAACCCUGAUCCAGCCAUGCCGCGUGUGUGAAGAAGGCCUUAUGGUUGUAAAGCACUUUAAGCGAGGAGGAGGCUCUUUUGGUUAAUACCCAAGAUGAGUGGACGUUACUCGCAGAAUAAGCACCGGCUAACUCUGUGCCAGCCGCCGCCGUAA